This 424-nucleotide long non-coding RNA is filed under the name Brassica napus (rape). RNAcentral's name for it is "long non-coding RNA (BNAP_LNC025770)". Lineage: Eukaryota; Viridiplantae; Streptophyta; Magnoliopsida; Brassicales; Brassicaceae. The record is from RNAcentral.
GGCCCAUCGAAUAACAAGGUCUAGCCCAACAAGCUACAAACUUACUCGGUUCGGCGAGUAAAGCUGUCAGCUCGAUCCUAGAGUGCUUUUAGCUGACGACCAAGCCGACCAAAAGCAUCCAGCUCGGAGGAACUCUAUCAAGGCCCAUAUACUCGGCCUUCUCAAGUUAAGGCCCAAAGAGGGACCGGAUCUAGGGCACACAAGGACGGAAAGCCAAUAAAAAGAAAGGAGACAACAACAAAAAGGGGAUCGACACUUUUACACACACACUGAGCGGCUAGAUCUAGGGUUUUAGUCUCUCUUUACUCCUACUCGUUCUGUACCUUUUCCGGUUUGCUCUUCGAGCUCCGGCUUGUUUCCUUGAUCUCCUGUCACUCUUAUACCUCCCUUUGAUCAGAUCUAAUAAAACGUAUUUAGUCAUCAC